This 1500-nucleotide long non-coding RNA is filed under the name Bemisia tabaci. RNAcentral describes it as "lncRNA ENSSSA3NGG013447". Lineage: Eukaryota; Metazoa; Arthropoda; Insecta; Hemiptera; Aleyrodidae. The record is from RNAcentral.
UCCGUCUUGAAUCCAAACAAAAGCCUUCUUACCUGGAGCAUCAAUGGAGAUAGGUUAUCAUCUAACCAACUAGAGGGCAAGACAACAUCUGAACUCUGCAAACAAGGUGGGAUCACCGACUCCGUCUGCGAAAUUGCUAAUGCCUUCGAAAAGACCUCAGUACUCUUUCUCAGGUUUUCUGUUGCAUCAGCAAGUUGCUUCUUGAGCCUCCCAUUUGAGGUUGUCUUCUUUUUAUUCAUCUUAUUUCGAACGUCUUUAAGAGUGAUGUUCGUUCUCGCGCAACCUACACCACUUUUUUCUGCAGUUAAAGACUGCUCAAAAGAUGGAGAUAUCGAGUUAAAGUCCGAAUUGUUUGAGACCAACUCCGGUAAACUUACAGACAAACCUUCAGGCCCCAAGUUUAGGUUAAUUCCUAUGGGCAAAAGGAAAUUAAAUCGAUAAAGAGAUUACUUCAUGAAUUUCAUUCGAGGCAAGCAAAAGAGGAUAUUUUUCAUAUAUGAAGAAAUUACUACACAAAAUAAUAGGGCAGCAGUUGUAUGACAUUGAAAUUGGCUAGGAGGAUAGAUACUUGUUUCAUAAAAUUCAUUGAGGCUAUCGUUUUCCAGCUCGGAGAUACUCAGGCGGCGAGAAAAGUAAAAAUUAAGAGAAAAGUUUGCGUAAAAGUAGAUUAUAAAAUAAAAUAUUCCUCAUUGGCUUACUACUUAUGACCUCACAUAAAGCAGCAACCAUGGUUUAGCUUAAUUGAUUGCUGUUGAUUACGUUGAGUGAGAUAUGUUGGAUGCUACGCAGCCUGUGACAAGAUCUAAAUAAUAAACAAUGGGCCUGUUGCAAACUUUUGCUAGAGCAAAAAUAAGAGUUGUUUCCUAUAGAUAAUGCCUCAAAAAUUACGAUGAGCGCAUCGGCAAAGUCUGAAAUGCACUCAUAACUUCACAAUCUGCGUAAGAAAUUUGCGUUUUUUUGAGCUUCCCGCUUCAAAAACGAUACUACGGCACAGGUGAACAUUUUGUUGGAGGAGUCGCUCCAUCGUCGGCAAUAUUCAUCAUGGCCGACGCUUGCGCAGUUCCGUGCGUAAUUCGAGGAGAGUUCAAGGUCAAUCAAGGCGGUCGAGGAAAAUAUGAACGUAAACACGCAGAUUGUUAUCUGGUCUAAUCCUGUUCAGGUGUUAUCUCGUCCCAUCACACGUGUUUUGGCGGAUUGUCGUCGGCCAUGAUGAGUAUUGCCGACGAUGGAACGACUCCUCUAAUAAAAUGUUCACCUGUGCCGUAGUAUCGUUUUUGACGCGGGAAGCUCAAAAACCGCAAAUUUCUUACGUAGAUUGUGAAGUUAUGAGUGCAUUUCAGACUUUACCGAUGCGCUCAUUGUGAUUUUUGAGGCAUCAUCUAUAAGAAACAACUCUUAGUUUUGCUCUAGCAAAAGUUUGCAACAGGCCCAUUUAAACAAAAGGUAAGGCAAGGUAGGCUUUUUUUCACAAAAACGACACCAAAACGUUUUGGCUGAAAA